UUGAACGCUGGCGGCAUGCCUUACACAUGCAAGUCGAACGGCAGCACGGGUGCUUGCACCUGGUGGCGAGUGGCGAACGGGUGAGUAAUGCAUCGGAACGUGCCUAUUAGUGGGGGAUAACGCUUCGAAAGGAGUGCUAAUACCGCAUAAUCUCUGAGGAGGAAAGCAGGGGACCUUCGGGCCUUGCGCUGAUAGAGCGGCCGAUGUCGGAUUAGCUAGUUGGUGAGGUAAAGGCUCACCAAGGCGACGAUCCGUAGCGGGUCUGAGAGGAUGAUCCGCCACACUGGGACUGAGACACGGCCCAGACUCCUACGGGAGGCAGCAGUGGGGAAUUUUGGACAAUGGGCGCAAGCCUGAUCCAGCCAUGCCGCGUGAGUGAAGAAGGCCUUCGGGUUGUAAAGCUCUUUUGUCCGGGAGCAAGUCCUACUGGCUAAUAUCUGGUGGGGAUGAGAGUACUGGAAGAAUAAGCACCGGCUAACUACGUG
Molecule: ribosomal RNA, 485 nt
Filed under: uncultured bacterium
Lineage: Bacteria
Description: bacterial SSU rRNA
Rfam family: Bacterial small subunit ribosomal RNA
Source: RNAcentral